GACGAACGCUGGCGGCGUGCUUAACACAUGCAAGUCGAACGGAAAGGCCCCCAUCUUGGUGGGGGUGCUCGAGUGGCGAACGGGUGAGUAACACGUGGGUGAUCUGCCCUGUACUUCGGGAUAAGCUUGGGAAACUGGGUCUAAUACCGGAUAGGACCAUGGUUUAGUGUCUCAUGGUGGAAAGAUUAUUGUUUUGGUGCAGGAUGAGCUCGCGGCCUAUCAGCUUGUUGGUGGGGUAAUGGCCUACCAAGGCGUCGACGGGUAGCCGGCCUGAGAGGGUGGACGGCCACAUUGGGACUGAGAUACGGCCAAGACUCCUACGGGAGGCAGCAGUGGGGAAUAUUGCACAAUGGGCGAAAGCCUGAUGCAGCGACGCAGCGUGGGGGAUGACGGCCUUCGGGUUGUAAACUCCUUUCGUUAGGGACGAAGCCGCACUUUUUUUGGGUGUGGUGACGGUACCUUUGUUAAGAAGCACCGGCUAACUACGUG
RNAcentral lists this ribosomal RNA (489 nucleotides) under uncultured bacterium. RNAcentral describes it as "partial 16S ribosomal RNA". It matches the Rfam family "Bacterial small subunit ribosomal RNA", at positions 28 to 507 of the family's 1533-position model. The record is from RNAcentral.